AUUGAACGCUGGCGGCAGGCCUAACACAUGCAAGUCGCACGAGUGGCGGACGGGUGAGUAAUGUCUGGGAAACUGCCUGAUGGAGGGGGAUAACUACUGGAAACGGUAGCUAAUACCGCAUACCAGCGGAUGUGCCCAGAUGGGAUUAGCUUGUUGGUGGGGUAACGGCUCACCAAGGCGACGAUCCCUAGCGGGUCUGAGAGGAUGACCAGCAAGACUGGAACUGAGACACGGUCCAGACUCCUACGCGAGGCAGCAGUGGGGAAUAUUGCACAAUGGGCGCAAGCCUGAUGCAGCCGUGCCGCGUGUAUGAAGAAGGCCUUCGGGUUGUAAAGUACUUUCAGCGGGGAGGCGUUACCCGCAGAAGUAGCACCGGCUAAAUCCGUGCCAGCAGCCGCGGUAAUAC
RNAcentral lists this ribosomal RNA (406 nucleotides) under uncultured bacterium. Its description in RNAcentral is "partial 16S ribosomal RNA". It matches the Rfam family "Bacterial small subunit ribosomal RNA", at positions 30 to 526 of the family's 1533-position model. The record is from RNAcentral.